Long non-coding RNA from Pangasianodon hypophthalmus (striped catfish), 896 nucleotides. RefSeq lists it as uncharacterized. The record is from RefSeq and is a predicted model, not a curated record. The transcript is spliced from 3 exons. Lineage: Eukaryota; Metazoa; Chordata; Actinopteri; Siluriformes; Pangasiidae.
UUUGAGGAUUUGAUCUGAUGGAUCUUACCGCCAUCCUCUGUUUCUCUCCUCCACUCAGAACAUCCAUCCAGUCCUGCUCGCUCUCCCAACCGCUCUCUCGCUCCACGAUGUGAGACAGCUGCACUCUAUCCAGCUGCAGUCAUUUUCCCGACCGGACGCCGUAACCACGUCAACAACAGACCAGAGAAGACCAGAUAACUCAGCAAGAUAUUAAAUCCUCACCUCUCGAUCAUGGUGCCAUUGUGGAUCAUCCAGACAUCGCAGCAGGUUCGAGCCAGAAGCAUGGCAGCGAUGAGCACCAGAUACCCCGACUGCACACACACACACACACACACACACACACACACACACACACACACGCGCGGUUUCAUUAAUAAACUGUUUAUAAAGCAUCUAAUCUUCAGCUCACUUUUUACACAUUGUUACCUCUUUACACAACAGCUGCGGCAUCAGAAAUCUUCAGGAUCUUGUAGAUGCGAGAGAUGAAGAGCUGAUCCACGAUGGCUUUGUCCUUCCUGCCAUCCUGCUGAAAAUAAUUUCAGUUAAACUUUAUAAAUGUGUAUAAAACAGCAGAAGCAUUUAAAACGUGUGUAAAGUGUGACAUGGAGCCUCACACAUGAUUCUGAAUGGAGCUUUGAAUUCCUGUUAGACCUGUAGGAAAAAUAAUAAUAAUAAAAAAGAUUUAAUUAAGGAUUUAUUCAGAUUUUCUCCAAUAAAUCAGUUAGAUAAACUCUGCAGAUUUAAAGCUAAAGCAGAUAAACCUGAAUACUGAAUAAGAUCCUGAUCAUCAGUGCAGUAACAGAACACACACUCCCUCACACUGCUCUUCUCUCUCACACAUUUUUCACUAAUAAUAAUAUUAAUAAUUAUAAAAACACACACAUAUCUCACCCAUU